Long non-coding RNA from Bubalus bubalis (water buffalo), 221 nucleotides. RefSeq lists it as uncharacterized. Lineage: Eukaryota; Metazoa; Chordata; Mammalia; Artiodactyla; Bovidae. The transcript is spliced from 3 exons. The record is from RefSeq and is a predicted model, not a curated record.
CAGCGCUGAGACAGGGCAGAGAACAGAGAGAUCCCUGUGGGCUACAAGGGAGGGAGGCUUGGGAAGAUUCAGUGAAAGAGAGGAAGAUUUGAGCGCCUUGAAAUUGGGUGGGAGAGGGGAAUACAUUCUUGCAGACAAGAAAGUGAGAAACCAUGAGGAAUUCAAGUCAACCAGCUACAACAUGCAGUGCCAGUUCAACAAAGAUAUAAAACUACAGCUGA